RNA transcript from Cygnus olor (mute swan), 3793 nucleotides. It is a transcript of the gene named amidohydrolase domain containing 1, with no coding region annotated. NCBI's taxonomy places the organism in Eukaryota, Metazoa, Chordata, Aves, Anseriformes, Anatidae. The record is from RefSeq and is a predicted model, not a curated record. The transcript is spliced from 9 exons.
AAUACAGCCCAACUUUUAGAAUCUCUUCUUUUGUAUGAAAUUCAAGAAUUUCUUGAGGAUGCAACCUAGAAACCACUUUGUCUCUCUGGGUAGUACUUUAAAAAAUAUAUCAGACACUGCAUGUCAUAAACCACGGGCUUUGCAGUAGAUUGACCUUGUUCUUCAUUUUCUUGCCUACUAAAGAGAAGAAAUCCCAACAGAAAGCACAUACUAUAUACAACAUGUGUAUACAAACAUACAUGCAUAGCUGGGAUUUUUCUUCAAGCAGAACACAAGGCUGAGAAUGAAAAUACUUGUGAAUACAAGGAAGGUGAAUACUUGUGAAUACAAGGAAGGUAUGUAAAAAUUGCCGUAAGACAGUGCAACAAGGAAGCUGUUCAGUCCUCGUUCUAGACCUCUUUAUUUGCCUGCCAUCCCACCACACAAGAGGCGAACUGACGUGAACUAGCAACAAUCACAUAAACACUUCGUGUAAUUAACAGAAUUGCAGUUAACGAAUGCAUGCGACUCCAUCUCUUCUCUCUUGUUCCUAAGCACUCUGGCUGUGACCAUGCCUGCCUCUUGGCAACCCUGCUGCCUAGCGUAGAGGUGCCCUCAGCGCACUGCCCGUGAUGACUCCCGGCUGUUAUCCCCAUGGCCUGAAAAGAGCUGCAGAAAGGCAAGGCUUAAAGAACAGAGCUCAGCGGCUCCACCUGUGUGGUGAGGUGGAGCCCCGUGCAUGUGGGGCAUGCCCUGUGCCAAGCACAGUCCUCUAUCCCCAGUACAAUCCUCCAGAUCCACCUUGAGAAAGUGCCUGCUGAACUGAAGAUCAGCCCCGAGCAGAUUUAUCCCCAUGCUUCCCAGGGAGGCAAGGGAUAGCAGCAUCACUGGCUUCCUUGAGGAGAAGAAUGCCCUGCAGAUACUUGCAGGAGGAAUGCGUUACAUCUGCUGAUCCACAAGAGAAUAAUAACGUUGUCUAGCAGAAGUUAGAACAGAGUACCAAGGUAUCAUCCUAAAGGAGUCUGAGGAGAGGACAAGGCAAGUGUUACAGCAGAGAACUAGAAAUGUGUAGCAUAACCCAUCAUUUUCUGUGCCUCCGUAAGAUUAGCAAGCCACCUCCUCUGUGCAUCUUUAGUCCUGCUAACAAUUCUCAAUGUUCCUGCUCUGCUGCUAGAGAAUUGUUGCUUCAGGGGCUCUUUCAAUGACCACUUUUGGAGCUUGACUUUUAAAAAGAUUCAAGAUUCCUUUGUUGAUCGUCUGUUUACAGAGAUGGUUAUAUAAAAGCUGUGGGCCAGGCAGAUGUUAUUCGCAAUCAGUUUUCAGGAGCAACAUUUGAACGAAAAAUUGACUGCACUGGGAAAUGCAUAUUGCCGGCUGGCAGGUGCUUCCUAUAUGGAAAUCCACCAGGCUGGAGGAGGCAUACAUUUUACUGUGGAACACACUCGGAAAGCCACAGAAGAAGAGCUGUUCAAUACUUUCAAACACCGACUUGAAUGCAUGCGCAGAGCAGGAUCUACUUUGGUUGAGUGCAAGAGUGGAUACGGCUUAAAUUUAGAAACAGAACUUAAAAUGCUUAGAGUGAUUGAACGUGCCAAGCAAUCCAUGGAUAUUGGCAUUUCAUCAACGUACUGUGGAGCUCAUUCCGUGCCAAAAGGGAAAACUGCUACUGAAGCCGCAGAUGACAUUAUCAAUAACCAUCUCCCUAAACUGAAAGAACUCAAACUAAGUGGUGAAAUACAUGUUAACAAUAUAGAUGUGUUCUGUGAGAAGGGAGUCUUUGAUCUGGAUUCUACUAGGAGAAUUCUUCAAGCUGGAAAAGAUAUAGGGUUACAGAUUAACUUCCAUGGUGAUGAACUCCAUCCGAUGAAAUCUGCUGAGCUUGGAGCUGAACUAGGAGCCCAGGCUAUCAGCCACCUAGAAGAAGUUAGUGAUGAAGGCAUUGCAGCAAUAGCAAGAGCUAAGUGUGCAGCUGUCCUUUUGCCAACUACUGCCUACAUGCUAAGACUGAAGCAACCUCAAGCUAGAAAAAUGUUAAAUGAAGGAGUUAUAGUUGCUCUUGGCAGUGAUUUUAAUCCUAAUGCAUACUGUUUUUCAAUGCCUAUGGUGAUGCAUCUGGCCUGUGUAAACAUGAAGAUGUCAAUGAAUGAAGCGCUAGCAGCUGCCACCAUUAAUGCAGCGUAUGCUCUGGGAAAAUCAGACACUCAUGGCUCCAUAGAGAUCGGCAAGCAGGGGGACCUUGUUAUUAUAAAUUCAUCAAGGACCAGGCAAAGGAGAGCUGUUACUGACUCCGGCCAAGUGAUCAUAGCGAGGGGCAUCCCCGGAGCGGAGCUGCGGCAUGCCCCUAAGGACAGAGCACACGGCCCCCGCCAGACGCCAACACUCGCCUUCUGCUCCACGAGCAGCCUGUGAGCCGCUUCGAUGUCCGGGGCCAUGAAGCGGUCCUUCAUCCAAGGCCUGCAACGAGACCCAGUGAGAACACUGGCCAAACAUUAACCACCAGCGGCAGCGGGUCUCCAAAGCAGCAGGUGACCUCUGCCUGUCGCGUUUAUCUGAUCUUACCUCACAACUGAGCGCACGAGGUCGUAGACCUUCUCCAAUGGCGUUGUCGUCCUCAGAGGGCGUAGGAAUUCGAUGCCCUGGCAGGCAGCGAGCAGCUCGAUAGCCAGAACUAGGGAAUCACAACAGCAGGGGAGAUAUUCAGCAGGUGCAGCUCAGGGCAAGGCUUCCUUAAUGAAACUAGCCUUGGCAUUCGGUCUAGCUGGUAUGACAUUGCUUCAGGUAAUAUAAAAAGAACAGUGGAUCCACGGACCACUGAGAUGCAGCCCAGAAGCAGAUCAUUUUAUGGGUCAUCCAGCAUUUUAGAAAGCAGUUUUGGGGUGGUCUGCCGUGCAGACUUUUCAGUAUGGCAGGAACUCCUAGUUACCACAGUCUUAUACCAUAAUCUCUUCCAGGGUAUCUUGAAUACCCAAGGUAAUGGGCAUCAUAAAUUAGAAAACUUUUUAGGGCUGAGAUGAACAAAGAGGCCUGAGCUGUAGAAGGGUUCUGCUUAUGAAACUUUGAAGGAGAUUAUUCUUUCUGGAGAAGUUUGCACCUUAUCUGCCCACCUCAGACCUGAUGAUUAUUGGCAUUAGUUCCUCAGUCUCACAAGCCAACUCACCAAAGGAGCUGGCUAAAUCAGCUGGAUCUAGAAUAUGUUGUUUCUCAACACAAUGUUGAAAUGUGUUGUUUCUCAGACCCACUAGUCUGCACGUGAAGAAUGCAGUUCCAUAAAACUAAGUCUUUAGAGCACUCACAUGUAUAAACUCAAGUGGGAAAAUGAGUUUAAUGUUUGUGUCCUAUGUAUUACUCUGUUCUUCCACUAACAGCUGACAUCUGUAUCUAAGCACAUCAUCUGCCAAACAAAUAAAUAAAAGGAAAAAAAAAAAGAGCAAUCUGUACUUCAAAGCAAGAGAAAACAGUUUUGCUGAGCAUCCUGUAACCAUCCUCCCAUGGACACGUGGUCCUCCGUAGCAGCACUGGUGGACAGAGAAUCCACAGAGGAGGGAUGGCACAAGGCUUUGUUCUCCGAAACUGCAAAAACCCAAUGCAGUGCAUGUAGGGCAGAACAGGCAAUGAUACCAAAAACAGUAGCCAGCCUGGAUCAAACAGCUCAUCCACCACCACAGGCUGCAGUGGAGAACACAACUUCUGCCCCUCUUUGCAGAACACAUCAAUGUUUUAGCUGAGUAGUUUGCAAUAAACACCUUGAAAACUACCAUCACAUCUAAAAACAGUCACCAGUACUGGUCUUGAGAUGCAAAUAUUAACCAAAGAC